AUUUGUUAUGCAAAGAAAAUAAAAAUAGAACAAGUGAAAUUUUAUGUAAUAAAUUCGUCAAGAGCAAUUUAAAUUACAAUAUUGCUAACCCAUUGUGACGCUAAUUGAUAAACCAAUAUUUAAACUAUAUAUUUUAUCCUUUUAUAUUUCUUUUCUUGUCUAAUUUAAUAGGAAGCUUUAAGUAUUUAUGAUACUUUUGAUUUAUUGUGUUUGUAGGAGAAGAAUAGGGGAGUAAAGUAGAGAGAGGCCGGCGCAUGAGGGGAGGCUGCCCUUUGGCAGCUGAGAAGAAAAGAAAUGAAAAAAAAUAUAAAGAAAGCUAAAGGAAAGAAGGAUCCAAGGUGGAAAACGUGGGAUUAAGCAGAAAUAAAGGGACAGCUACGGAACAAGGAGAAUCCAAGGCAUGUUAGAAAAUGAGCUGUAGAGAGGAUUGGUCAGCACGGGUAAUGAAAGCAGGUGAAAGAGAGAGUAAAAAGAAUAAAAUAAUGAGGAGUGGGCUGCCUUUGGCAGCUGUGAGGAUAGCUGGAGAAAACGUGCGUGAGGAUGAUGAUGCUCUGGCA
RNAcentral lists this long non-coding RNA (557 nucleotides) under Malus domestica (apple). RNAcentral's name for it is "long non-coding RNA (MDOM_LNC016470)". The record is from RNAcentral. Lineage: Eukaryota; Viridiplantae; Streptophyta; Magnoliopsida; Rosales; Rosaceae.